AGAAGAGUUUGAUCCUGGCUCAGGAUGAACGCUAGCGACAGGCCUAACACAUGCAAGUCGAGGGGCAGCGCGGUGUAGCAAUACAUUGGCGGCGACCGGCGCACGGGUGAGUAACGCGUAUGCAACCUACCUACAACAGGGGGAUAACCCGGAGAAAUUCGGACUAAUACCGCAUAACACAGGGAUCCCGCAUGGGAAUAUUUGUUAAAGAUUUAUCGGUUGUAGAUGGGCAUGCGUUCCAUUAGCUGGUUGGCGAGGUAACGGCUCACCAAGGCAACGAUGGAUAGGGGAACUGAGAGGUUUGUCCCCCACACUGGAACUGAGACACGGACCAGACUCCUACGGGAGGCAGCAGUGAGGAAUAUUGGUCAAUGGGCGGGAGCCUGAACCAGCCAAGUCGCGUGAAGGAAGACAGCCUUAUGGGUUUUAAACUUCUUUUGCAGGGGAAUAAAAAGGAGUACGUGUACUUUAUUGCAUGUACCCUGCGAAUAAGCAUCGGCUAACUCCGUGCCAGCAGCCGCGGUAAUACGGAGGAUGCGAGCGUUAUCCGGAUUUAUUGGGUUUAAAGGGUGCGCAGGCGGGUUUUUAAGUCAGCGGUGAAAUAUUCAGGCUCAACCUGAAGGCUGCCGUUGAAACUGGGGAUCUUGAGUAUAGAUGAAGUAGGCGGAAUUCGUUGUGUAGCGGUGACAUGCUUAGAUAUAACGAGGAACUCCGAUUGCGUAGGCAGCUUACUAAACUAUAACUGACGCUCAUGCACGAAAGCGUGGGGAUCAAACAGGAUUAGAUACCCUGGUAGUCCACGCCGUAAACGAUGAUUACUAGUUGCAUGCGAUAUGAUAGUAUGUGACCAAGCGAAAGCGAUAAGUAAUCCACCUGGGGAGUACGCCGGCAACGGUGAAACUCAAAGGAAUUGACGGGGGCCCGCACAAGCGGAGGAACAUGUGGUUUAAUUCGAUGAUACGCGAGGAACCUUACCCGGGCUUGAAAUGCAGAAGAAUAAUGAGGAAACUUAUUAGCUAGCAAUAGCUUCUGUGUAGGUGCUGCAUGGUUGUCGUCAGCUCGUGCCGUGAGGUGUCGGCUUAAGUGCCAUAACGAGCGCAACCCACAUCAUUAGUUACUAACAGGUCGUGCUGAGGACUCUAAUGAGACUGCCGUCGUAAGAUGCGAGGAAGGUGUGGAUGACGUCAAAUCAGCACGGCCCUUACGUCCGGGGCGACACACGUGUUACAAUGGGUGGUACAAAGGGCAGCUACCUGGUGACAGGAUGCUAAUCUCCAAAGCCACUCCCAGUUCGGAUCGGAGUCUGCAACUCGACUCCGUGAAGCUGGAUUCGCUAGUAAUCGCGCAUCAGCCAUGGCGCGGUGAAUACGUUCCCGGGCCUUGUACACACCGCCCGUCAAGCCAUGGGAGCUGGGGGUAUCUGAAGUACGUAACCGCGAGGAGCGUCCUAGGGUAAAACCGGUGACUGGGGCUAAGUCGUAACAAGGUAGCCGUACCGGAAGGUGCGGCUGGAACACCUCCUUU
Molecule: ribosomal RNA, 1524 nt
Filed under: Bacteroidia bacterium
Lineage: Bacteria; Pseudomonadati; Bacteroidota; Bacteroidia
Description: bacterial SSU rRNA
Rfam family: Bacterial small subunit ribosomal RNA
Source: RNAcentral